Molecule: long non-coding RNA, 1252 nt
Filed under: Olea europaea (common olive)
Lineage: Eukaryota; Viridiplantae; Streptophyta; Magnoliopsida; Lamiales; Oleaceae
Description: long non-coding RNA (OEUR_LNC004078)
Source: RNAcentral
UUUCGGCCAAAAGGCCCCGAGGUUCGGCGACCAACUAACGCCUACAUCCCCGUUGAGCAUCCAUACGGAUUAAGCUCGAAUCCACUAUAAAGAUACCCAUAUUGGGAAAAACUAAGUUACAAACAUAUGAGAGUACACUGCCGUUUCUCCUAAUCACAAGAGGCCCUCAGAUUCUAUAAUACAAUCUCACACAGAGAUAAAUCUCAACAAUUCUUUGUAAGGAAUUCACAUAGAAAUCACAAAAUAAAACCCACAGAAGAUUAGAGAGUUCGAAGAAGAAGAACGGCAGUCAAGAAGAAAAAUGAAAGUUAGGGUUAAACAAAAAUAUCUGAAACCCUAGUUAUAUGAGGCGUCCCACAAAGACCAAUCCAACGGUCACAAUCAUGCCACGCGUAAGAGAUCCAGCAGAGGACGCAUUUUGAAGUUAAAACGCGUUUCACAAAAACACGACUUUGUCACCUCUAGAAUGUUCAGUAAGUGUGGUAUAAUCAUUGGACCGGGUCAACAUAAUAUCCAUUGGGCUCAAAGAUUUCAGCAGCCCAAAUCCUUACAUUCUAGUCUCACAAAAUCAAACGAGGAGUUGUACUCAUUCUUCGAGGCAAAGCUCCCAGGCCGAAUUACCUAAACAGUUUUAACGAAUAAAAAACAAAUCAAACACAAACUUUGCAAAUACGGAACCUAUAUACUGUGAUUCAUCUCAGAAAAUUUAAUUUUAGAAUAAACCUCAGUUUUUUCCCAACUUCCGAUCUUGUAAUCAUUUGUUUAGGAUAUGCAUUUAUUUUCCACAACAAAUUUUAGCAAUACGUAAUAAAAACAGCAUUAUCCAAUUGCUUUGAUUUGAAUUAUCCUGAGAAAGCAAAUACAGUUCGUCUGAUCUUUCUUCGCAUGUACCAGCAGUAACAUAAAUAAUGGGCAACAAACAGAAGCUUAUAUGACAUAUGACUUAAGAAAUAUAAGUCGAACAACAAAAUUGAAACUUAUAUUAAUAAGUAAAAGAAUGAGAGAUAUGUUAAAAUAUGAUUAUGAAUUACUAUUACCUGGUCGGAAAAUCACCGGAAAGUUGACUAGGAAAUUGUUCAGACUCAACUCCGCGACCCCAUAUCUUUUGUCGAGUGGCUUUAGUAAUUGUAAAUGAAAUUGCCGUGUGAUUUGAAACAAGCUGCGCAGGCUUGAAGCCGAAGCCAAAGCGUGGCCCGUGGAUCAAUGGACCACAAACAAAAAAGGGCCCGAAAAAGGAAGAAUCCAGGUAACG